GGUUAUUGUUGUAAGGGA
This 18-nucleotide non-coding RNA is filed under the name Arabidopsis thaliana (thale cress). Lineage: Eukaryota; Viridiplantae; Streptophyta; Magnoliopsida; Brassicales; Brassicaceae. The record is from RNAcentral.